GGAGGCAGCAGUGGGGAAUUUUGGACAAUGGGGGCAACCCUGAUCCAGCAAUGCCGCGUGUGUGAAGAAGGCCUUCGGGUUGUAAAGCACUUUUGUCCGGAAAGAAAACUUCGUCCCUAAUAUGGAUGGAGGAUGACGGUACCGGAAGAAUAAGCACCGGCUAACUACGUGCCAGCAGCCGCGGUAAUACGUAGGGUGCGAGCGUUAAUCGGAAUUACUGGGCGUAAAGCGUGCGCAGGCGGUGAUGUAAGACCGAUGUGAAAUCCCCGGGCUUAACCUGGGAACUGCAUUGGUGACUGCAUUGCUGGAGUAUGGCAGAGGGGGGUGGAAUUCCCGUGUAGCAGUGAAAUGCGUAGAGAUGUGGAGGCACGAUGGCGAAGGCAGCCCCCUGGGCCAAUACUGA
RNAcentral lists this ribosomal RNA (403 nucleotides) under Burkholderia sp. RNAcentral's name for it is "bacterial SSU rRNA". It matches the Rfam family "Bacterial small subunit ribosomal RNA", at positions 344 to 743 of the family's 1533-position model. Lineage: Bacteria; Pseudomonadati; Pseudomonadota; Betaproteobacteria; Burkholderiales; Burkholderiaceae. The record is from RNAcentral.